RNAcentral lists this long non-coding RNA (777 nucleotides) under Triticum aestivum (bread wheat). Its description in RNAcentral is "long non-coding RNA (TAES_LNC005627)". The record is from RNAcentral. Lineage: Eukaryota; Viridiplantae; Streptophyta; Magnoliopsida; Poales; Poaceae.
UUUUUCUCAUAAUUCACGCCCCAAAGAUAGGUUCUUUUAGUUACUACAUAUUUUAGUUUUUUCUGCUUACUGUCAUGUCCACUUUCUUGUCUGAUUAAGCAACUAAUAUAUGAAUAUCUGUGCACAGUUCUACCAUUUUUGCACUCACUUAUGGGGCCAUCUAUGUUGAGUUUGUUCUGCUAUUCUCCAACUUAAAUCAAGAAUGCAGUCUCAUGUCAUUGUCUUUGCUAAUACAGAUUGUAAUGCAAUCCAAUUGUAGUGUCAUGUUUCAGCUCCUUUUAUUUUAAUCGUGAUGUGCAUGGUUGUUCAUGUUCUCUUCUUGCCAUGCACUAAUCGAAGUGUACAUGUAGAUGCUCAAAAUUGCUUAUCAUCAAAUUACUUGACUUAUGUACUGCUUGGACUUGUUUAAUUAAAGAGACGUCUCUUUAAAUUGACUAUAUUUACUUUGUCACACAUCAUUUGGGUCUUUUGCAUUGCCGAGAGUUGUUACCCGAAAGUUCAUACAUUGUAUAAUUUCUUGUUAUCCUUCUGUGCAUGGAGCCAUCUUCUGGGUAGUACAAUCCAGGUCGACCAUGUUGAGAUAAUCAUCAUUUUAAUUAUGACAGCUUACCAAGUUUAAUAUUUCAGUUCUCCGAAACAUAAUCUGAUUAUGACAGCUUAUCAAAUUUAAUAUUCUGCACAUGGUGAACUUCAUCAAAUUAGGAUACGGAUACCUACUUGUUUUAUCAUUCUAUCAGCAACCUAAGCUCUUACUGUAAGAUAUUAAACCCAUUUGUA